AGUGAACGCUGGCGGUAGGCCUAACACAUGCCAGUCGAACGGCAGCACAGUAAGAGCUUGCUCUUACGGGUGGCGAGUGGCGGACGGGUGAGGAAUACAUCGGAAUCUACUUUUUCGUGGGGGAUAACGUAGGGAAACUUACGCUAAUACCGCAUACGACCUACGGGUGAAAGCAGGGGAUCUUCGGACCUUGCGCGAUUGAAUGAGCCGAUGUCGGAUUAGCUAGUUGGCGGGGUAAAGGCCCACCAAGGCGACGAUCCGUAGCUGGUCUGAGAGGAUGAUCAGCCACACUGGAACUGAGACACGGUCCAGACUCCUACGGGAGGCAGCAGUGGGGAAUAUUGGACAAUGGGCGCAAGCCUGAUCCAGCCAUACCGCGUGGGUGAAGAAGGCCUUCGGGUUGUAAAGCCCUUUUGUUGGGAAAGAAAAGCAGCAGGUUAAUACCCCGAUGUUCUGACGGUACCCAAAGAAUAAGCACCGGCUAACUUCGUG
Molecule: ribosomal RNA, 492 nt
Filed under: uncultured bacterium
Lineage: Bacteria
Description: partial 16S ribosomal RNA
Rfam family: Bacterial small subunit ribosomal RNA
Source: RNAcentral